Molecule: ribosomal RNA, 1497 nt
Filed under: human gut metagenome
Description: bacterial LSU rRNA
Rfam family: Bacterial large subunit ribosomal RNA
Source: RNAcentral
CGCAAGACGUAAGCGAUGGAUAACCCGUUUAGAUUCCUGUACCACGCAUUAUCAGAACUGUAGGGACGCAUGUGGAAAGCACGGGCCGGGAAUGGAAAGACCGGUACAAGCGGGGUAGGUGUACGAUAGGCAAAUCCGUCGUAUAAUCCGAAGACGUGAUGUGGAGCGAAAUAAAGUAGCAAAGCGUGUGAGCCAUGUGCCGAGAAAAGCUGCUAUUGUGUAAUGCGUGCCCGUACCGUAAACCGACACAGGUGGAUGAGGAGAGAAUCCUAAGGCCGACGGAAGAAGCAUUGUUAAGGAAUUCGGCAAAAUGACCCCGUAACUUCGGGAGAAGGGGUGCCUGCGAGAGCAGGCCGCAGAGAAUAGGCUCAAGCAACUGUUUAGCAAAAACACAGGUCUAUGCGAAACCGAAAGGUGAAGUAUAUGGGCUGACGCCUGCCCGGUGCUGGAAGGUUAAGAGGAGAGGUUAGCUUCGGCGAAGCUUUGAAUUUAAGCCCCAGUAAACGGCGGCCGUAACUAUAACGGUCCUAAGGUAGCGAAAUUCCUUGUCGGGUAAGUUCCGACCCGCACGAAAGGCGUAAUGAUUUGAGCGCUGUCUCGACAAUGCAUCCGGUGAAAUUGAAGUACCAGUGAAGAUGCUGGUUACCCGCGCCAGGACGGAAAGACCCCAUGGAGCUUUACUCCAGUUUGAUACUGGGAUUCGGUACUGCAUGUACAGGAUAGGUGGGAGACGAAGAAGGAUGGACGCCAGUCUGUCCGGAGUCGCUGUUGGGAUACCACCCCUGUAGUACUGGGUUUCUAACCAGUUGCCAUGAACUGGCAAUGGGACAAUGUCAGGCGGGGAGUUUGACUGGGGCGGUCGCCUCCGAAAGGGUAUCGGAGGCGCUCAAAGGUUCCCUCAGAAUGGUUGGAAACCAUUUGAAGAGUGCAAAGGCAGAAGGGAGCUUGACUGCGACACCGACGGGUGGAGCAGGUACGAAAGUAGGACUUAGUGAUCCGGUGGUAUAAAGUGGGAUUGCCAUCGCUCAACGGAUAAAAGCUACCCUGGGGAUAACAGGCUUAUCACUCCCAAGAGUUCACAUCGACGGAGUGGUUUGGCACCUCGAUGUCGGCUCAUCGCAUCCUGGGGCUGUAGCAGGUCCCAAGGGUUGGGCUGUUCGCCCAUUAAAGCGGUACGCGAGCUGGGUUCAGAACGUCGUGAGACAGUUCGGUCCCUAUCCGGCGCGGGCGGAGGAUAUUUGAGAGGAGCUGUCCUUAGUACGAGAGGACCGGGAUGGACGGACCACUGGUGUAUCUGUUGUCGACCAACGGCAUGGCAGAGUAGCCAAGUCUGGAAGGGAUAAACGCUGAAGGCAUCUAAGCGUGAAGCCCCCCUCAAGAUGAGAUAUCCCUCCUUCGGGAGUAAGACCCCUUGAAGACUACAAGGUAGAUAGGGCAGAGGUGGAAGCAUGGCAACAUGUGGAGCUGACUGUUACUAAUAGGUCGAGGGCUUAAUCU